Clohesyomyces aquaticus is the source of this 200-nucleotide non-coding RNA. Lineage: Eukaryota; Fungi; Ascomycota; Dothideomycetes; Pleosporales; Lindgomycetaceae. The record is from the annotation of a GenBank genome assembly.
GGGCCAAUAGCUCAGUGGUAGAGCGUCCAAAUGGAGAAAGCCAAGCCUCCUCUCUUUACGGAAGAAACAACCAUACUUCUCAACAUCUCCAAACUAGCACCGUGUUAGUUUGGACAAGUUGAGAGGUGUGGUUGUUUCAUCUGUCGAAAGCGAUGGUCUGUAUCCCGGGAAGGUCUUGCGUUCGAGUCGCAAUUAGCCCA